CCACCGCGGUUAUACGAAAGACCCUAGUUGAUAGCCACGGCGUAAAGGGUGGUUAAGGAAAAAUAACAAAUAAAGCUAAAGACCUUCUAAGUCGUCAUACGCAUUCCGAAGACACGAGGCCCAAACACGAAAGUAGCUUUAAACAAGACUUACCUGACUCCACGAAAGCUAAGAAACAAACUGGGAUUAGAUACCCCACUAUGCUUAGCCCUAAACCUAGACAUAUCUUUACAUAUAUGUCCGCCCGGGUACUACGAGCUACAGCUUAAAACCCAAAGGACUUGGCGGUGUCUCAGACCCACCUAGAGGAGCCUGUUCUAGAACCGAUAACCCCCGUUAAACCUCACCCCUUCUUGUUUUUCCGCCUAUAUACCGCCGUCGUCAGCUUACCCUGUGAAGGCCUAAUAGUAAGCAAAAUGGGUCCACCCAAAAACGUCAGGUCGAGGUGUAGCGCACGAAGGGGGAAGAAAUGGGCUACAUUUUCUAAAUAACAGAAUACUACGAAUGAGCACUCUGAAAUAUAGUGCCUGAAGGUGGAUUUAGUAGUAAAAAGCAAAUAGAGAGUCCUUUUGAAUUAGGCUCUGAGACGCGCACACACCGCCCGUCACUCUCCCCUUAUGCUAACAAAACUAAUAUUCAUAAUACCUUACUUAACAAUAAGGGGAGGCAAGUCGUAACAUG
Molecule: ribosomal RNA, 681 nt
Filed under: Clupisoma sinense
Lineage: Eukaryota; Metazoa; Chordata; Actinopteri; Siluriformes; Ailiidae
Description: partial 12S ribosomal RNA
Rfam family: Bacterial small subunit ribosomal RNA
Source: RNAcentral